CACAGGAUAGUUAGUGAGGUGCUAAUUGGAUAAUGUGGUGAGAAACAGAGCUAAGUACAGAGGAAGGGCAAGAGGCUUAGAUAACUAGAACAAAUGUGAGUGCUGAGCUGUAGGAACAGAUAUAAGAGGGGAAAAAAUGGACUCAAACUAUGUUUGAUGUAGUAAAUCAUUACACUGGGAGAAUCAAAGGAAACAGAAAAGACUGAGUGCUGCUAGAACUAGUACUGAAACUGCCAGGCUGGACCAGGCUGAUGAAACUCCUUUGCUAAAACACAGAGAAAAACAACUACAUGGUUCUUUCAGAAAGCAAGCCAAGAAAGCCAAUGAGGCAUCGCCAAAAGACACAUCCUUCUGCUUUCUAUUCUGUGCCUGUCUUUUCCUGGGAACUAUUGUAAAGAAACCCAAGCAUGCCCCAGCAAGACUUGCUACACUCUGAUGCCAGUGCCAGGAUCUGGCACUCCCUACAGCCUGUUACCUGCACCCCUGGACAUUUCCAUGGCAGCUCUGUUUGUGUUGCCACAUCCUUUCUGACACACACAGGGGACUUGCCACCCUGCUGAGUGGAAACCAUUCCUGAACUUUCUACUUGAGCUGAUGACUGCACCUUUGUGUUCACCCUGCCUGUGUGAGCUUCCAUGCAAACCUCACACCACCUUGACUGACACUGCUGAGUAUGGGAACCCUUUCGCCUGAGCUAAAACUUGCCCUAGACUUACCCCAAAUGUGGAUGCUGCCACCUUGCUGGCUGACCAACCAUUCAUGUGAAUGACCCAUACAUUCAUCAGGACCUUAGUUGUAAUGCUCUGAAUUCUCUCUUUCCUGAGAGAAAAGGAGCUUCUGGAACAUUUGGAGUCCCGUCAGAAGAUGCAGGGAAGGACUCAAAAUUCCACUGCCUGACUGAGAUGAUUGGAUAAAAAAAUACUCCCAAAAAUACAUAAAAUAAAAGGACACAAAACUAACAGAAACCUGCCCCAUAAAACAUUUUUCACAAGCAUGAAAUUUCAAUGGCAAAUAUUACCAUUUCUUCUCAACCCUCUAAGUGUUUUCACUCUAAACAGACCUAUAUAUUUGCAGGAGCCAUGGUUCUGGCACAUCACAUUCCUAAUUUCAUUUCUGGGAUUAAUUCCCUGACAUCGUGCAUCAUAGUACUCAGUCUUGAUAGGAGGAGGUAAUGCAUCAAAUAUGAGCUGAACAUCUGUCAUACAUUAGGGGAGAUGAAGUCCUGGAGAUCUUCCUUGCUGUUUGUCAUGGUUUCACUGCAGCCAUCCACCAAGCACCAGGCCACUCACUCACUCUCCUGCCAGAAGGAUCAGGGACAGAUUUGGAAGGGUAAAACGUGAAAACGUGGGAUGAGAUAAAGCCGAGCACAAAAGGAAAACAAAGGCUUAAUUCAUGGCUUCUCAUGACCAGGCAGAUGUUCAGGCAUCUCCAGGAGAGCAGGGCCUCAUCACAAAUAGGAGUUAUUUGUGAAGACAUAUGCCAUCACUCCAAAUAUCCUUCCUCUUCCUCCUUCUGUCCCCUGCUUUAUACACUGAGCAUGAUCUCAUAUGGUUUGGAAUAUGCCUUUGGUCAGUUUGGGUCCCCUUGUCCUGCCUAUGUCUCCUCCCAGCCACCCAUGUACCCCCAACUUCCUCACCAGUGUGGCAGUAUGGAAAAGAGAGAAGGCCUUGGGUCUGUGUAAGCCCCACUCACCAACAGCCAAAAGAUCUCUAUAUUAUCAACCCUGUGUUGAGCACAAAUCCAAAACAGUCACAUACCAGCCCUUGUGAAGAAAGUUAACUCUACCCCAGCCAAAACCAGUUCACUGUUUAAUAGAAAGAGAGCAAAAGUCACAGGAACUAAUGCUGCUGUGACAGCUAGGGUGAUUUCAUUUAACCUGAUUAGAGAGAUCUGCAAUGUAGAUGGCCACAUUUGAACUAGGCAUCCCGGCUUUAUUUGUACCUAAAGGGACAGAAAUGAGCACCUUUAGAGUGAG
Molecule: long non-coding RNA, 1975 nt
Organism: Passer domesticus (house sparrow)
Lineage: Eukaryota; Metazoa; Chordata; Aves; Passeriformes; Passeridae
Exons: 3
Source: RefSeq, a predicted model, not a curated record